AACCAUUCUCACCUGCGGCUAGACCUGCGGAAGGAUCAUUACAGAGUUGCAAAACUCCCUAAACCAUUGUGAACGUUACCUAAACCGUUGCUUCGGCGGGCGGCCCGGGUCCUUCCCGGCGCCCCUCGGCCCUCGCGGGCGCCCGCCGGAGGUAAACCAAACUAUUGCAUUGUAUGGCCUCUCUGAGUCUUCUGUACUGAAUAAGUCAAAACUUUCAACAACGGAUCUCAGAUCGGAAGA
Molecule: unclassified non-coding RNA, 240 nt
Filed under: soil metagenome
Description: partial contains 5.8S ribosomal RNA, internal transcribed spacer 2, and large subunit ribosomal RNA
Source: RNAcentral